CGUCUAUAUACGUAUAGCAUAUCAAUAAGCGGAGGAAAAGAACUAACAAGGAUUCCCUUAGUAACGGCGAGUGAAGCGGGAAGAGCUCAAAUUUGAAAUCUUCAAGGUUCUACCUUGACGAAUUGUAGUUUAAAGAAGUGUUUUCUGUUAGAGGAGUAGCAAAAGUAUCCUUGGAAUGGGACAUCAUAGAGGGUGAGAAUCCCGUAUUUGGUUAUUCUUUCUAGCUUUGUGAUACACUUUCAAAGAGUCGGAUUGUUUGGGAAUGCAGUCCAAAAUGGGUGGUAAAUUUCAUCUAAAGCUAAAUAUUGGCGAGAGACCGAUAGCGAACAAGUACCGUGAGGGAAAGAUGAAAAGAACUUUGAAAAGAGAGUUAAACAGUACGUGAAAUUGUCAAAAGGGAAGCGUUUGACACCAGUGUUGUUUUUCCGAAAAUCAAUUAAGAAUGGCUUGAUUUUGUGUUGUAUUGACCUUAUCAGCUUUCUUCACUCUUUCUCGAGUCUUUCUUAAUGCACUUUUCGGUUAACAAGUCAACAUCAAUUUCUUUUGUUGUAAAAGGGUAUUUGGAAGGUGGCUUUCUUUUCGGAGAAAGUGUUUAUAGCCUUAUACCUCUACAAUCGGAGAGAUUGAGGUCUGCAGCGUAGAUCCUUCGGGGCUAGAUACACUUGUGCUAAGUUAUAGCUUUUCAUAGACAACUUGUCGACUAUGUUUAGUCAUGUAGCUUACCCGCUUGUGCUAUUUUACCUACGCUUAGGAUGUUGAGUCAUCACACAUCUCU
RNAcentral lists this ribosomal RNA (775 nucleotides) under uncultured Neocallimastigales. RNAcentral's name for it is "partial large subunit ribosomal RNA". It matches the Rfam family "Eukaryotic large subunit ribosomal RNA", at positions 26 to 618 of the family's 3401-position model. Lineage: Eukaryota; Fungi; Neocallimastigomycota; Neocallimastigomycetes; Neocallimastigales. The record is from RNAcentral.